This is a non-coding RNA of Lactuca sativa (garden lettuce), 280 nucleotides long. NCBI's taxonomy places the organism in Eukaryota, Viridiplantae, Streptophyta, Magnoliopsida, Asterales, Asteraceae. The record is from RefSeq and is a predicted model, not a curated record.
AUAAAACCUUUGCUUUUGAGGUACUAACUGUUUUCUCCUGGAAUUUUUUUUGCCUGAGAUUUUUUGCUGCCAGCUAUCCCUUCGGGACCACUCUUAUGUAUUAUGUUAAAAGCACCAAUUCAGAAAUUUGCUGAUUAUCUUUUAGGUGUUGGUGUCAAGCUUGUUGGCAAUACAGUGUGGAGUACCCUCUUUCAUCAAUUCUUAAUAGUGAUGUCACUAAUAAUCCUUCUGAGGGGGUGUUUGUUGGGCUGCUUCUUUCAAUGUCAUUAACAACAGUGGU